GGCUUUAACUGACGCUGAGGCACGAAAGCGUGGGUAGCAAACAGGAUUAGAUACCCUGGUAGUCCACGCUGUAAACGAUGAUUACUAGGUGUGGGGGGACUGACCCCUUCCGUGCCGGAGUUAACACAAUAAGUAAUCCACCUGGGGAGUACGGCCGCAAGGUUGAAACUCAAAGGAAUUGACGGGGGCCCGCACAAGCAGUGGAGUAUGUGGUUUAAUUCGAAGCAACGCGAAGAACCUUACCAGGUCUUGACAUCCAACUAACGAAGUAGAGAUACAUCAGGUGCCCUUCGGGGAAAGUUGAGACAGGUGGUGCAUGGUUGUCGUCAGCUCGUGUCGUGAGAUGUUGGGUUAAGUCCCGCAACGAGCGCAACCCUUGCUAUUAGUUGCUACGCAAGAGCACUCUAAUAGGACUGCCGUUGACAAAACGGAGGAAGGUGGGGACGACGUCAAAUCAUCAUGCCCCUUAUGACCUGGGCUACACACGUACUACAAUGGCCAUCAACAGAGGGAAGCAAAACAGCGAUGUGGAGCAAACCCCUAAAAAUGGUCUCAGUUCAGAUUGCAGGCUGCAACCCGCCUGCAUGAAGUCGGAAUGCU
RNAcentral lists this ribosomal RNA (600 nucleotides) under uncultured bacterium. RNAcentral's name for it is "bacterial SSU rRNA". It matches the Rfam family "Bacterial small subunit ribosomal RNA", at positions 732 to 1336 of the family's 1533-position model. The record is from RNAcentral.